This 480-nucleotide ribosomal RNA is filed under the name uncultured bacterium. RNAcentral's name for it is "bacterial SSU rRNA". It matches the Rfam family "Bacterial small subunit ribosomal RNA", at positions 30 to 497 of the family's 1533-position model. The record is from RNAcentral.
AUUGAACGCUGGCGGCAUGCUUUACACAUGCAAGUCGAACGGCAGCACGGGUGCUUGCACCUGGUGGCGAGUGGCGGACGGGUGAGUAAUACAUCGGAACGUAUCCUGAAGUGGGGGAUAACGCAUCGAAAGAUGUGCUAAUACCGCAUAUACUCUGAGGAGGAAAGUAGGGGAUCGAAAGACCUUAUGCUUUUGGAGCGGCCGAUGUCUGAUUAGCUAGUUGGUAAGGUAAUGGCUUACCAAGGCAACGAUCAGUAGUUGGUCUGAGAGGACGACCAGCCACACUGGGACUGAGACACGGCCCAGACUCCUACGGGAGGCAGCAGUGGGGAAUUUUGGACAAUGGGCGCAAGCCUGAUCCAGCAAUGCCGCGUGAGUGAAGAAGGCCUCGGUUGUAAGACUCUUUCGGCCGGGACCGAAAGUCGCACGGGUUAACGACCGCGUGUGGAGUGACGGUACCGGAAGUAAGAAGACACCGGC